This 1363-nucleotide ribosomal RNA is filed under the name uncultured bacterium. RNAcentral describes it as "partial 16S ribosomal RNA". It matches the Rfam family "Bacterial small subunit ribosomal RNA", at positions 56 to 1430 of the family's 1533-position model. The record is from RNAcentral.
UGCAAAUCGAAUGGGAGACAGCGAGCUCUCAUGGUGAACGGGUGAGUAUAACAUGAGAAUCAACCAUUAGACAAGGUAUAACAAGAGGAAACUUUUAGUAAUCCCUUAUAUGCGCAGUAGUGCUGAGAAAGGUUAAUUUAAUUAGAUAAGGACCGUCUAUAAACGAGCUCAUGCCUGAUUAGCUAGUUGGCGAGGUAAAGGCUCACCAAGGCGAAGAUCAGUAGCUGGCCUGAGAGGGUGGUCAGCCACAUUGGGACUGAGACACGGCCCAAACUCCUACGGGAGGCAGCAGUGGGGAAUCUUCUGCAAUAAGCGCAAGCUUGACAGAGCGACGUCACGUGAAGGAAGACGGCUACAAAUUAGUUGUAAACUUCUUUUGCUGAGUUGUGAAUACUGACAACGAAGUUAAAAAGCAUCGGCUAACUCCGUGCCAGCAGCCGCGGUAAUACGGGGGAUGCAGGCGUUAUCCGGAAUUACUGGGCGUAAAGAGUCUGUAGGUGGUCUAAUGUGUUCUUAGUGAAAGCAUAAAGCCUAACUUCAUAAGGUCUAGGAAAACUAUUAGACUUGAGUACAAUAGGGGUAAUAGGAAUUCUUCGAGAAGUAGUGAAAUGCGAAGAUACGAAGGAGAAGACCAAAAGCGAAGGCUUAUUACUGGGUUGUUACUGACACUGAGAGACGAAAGCUAGGGGAGCGAAAGGGAUUAGAUACCCCUGUAGUCCUAGCUGUAAACGAUGGGUACUCGGUACCGACAAAGCUCAAGACUUAGUUGGUACCCUAGCUAACGCGUUAAGUAUCCCGCCUGAGGAGUACGCUCGCAAGGGUGAAACUCAAAGGAAUUGACGGGGGCUCGCACAAGCGGUGGAGCAUGUGGUUUAAUUCGAUGCAACGCGAAGAACCUUACCAGAGCUUGACAUGGAUGCUAUAUAUAGGAAAGCCUUAAUGGACUACUUCUUAAAGCAUACACAGGAGGUGCAUGGCUGUCGUCAGCUCGUGUCGUGAGAUAUUGGGUUAAGUCCCGCAACGAGCGCAACCCUUGUUCGGAGUUGUAACUCUUNGAAGACUGCCUAAAAUCAUUUAUAGAUUUCGCAGGAGGAAGGCGAGGAUGACGUCAAGUCAUCAUGCCCCUUAUGCUCUGGGCUACACACGUGCUACAAUGGGAGGCACAAUAUGCAAACAAGAUCCUGUUCGCAAGAAUAAGGGUAGCCAUAAAAACCUCUCUUAGUUGGGAACGUAGGCUGCAACUGGUCUACGUGAAGUUGGAAUGGCUAGUAAUCGCCGGUCAGCCAUACGGCGGUGAAUAUGUUCUCGACGCCUUGUACACACCGCCCGUCACACCACGGAAAUUGAUCAGUCCCAAAGCCAU